CUUCAGUCCGCAUUUAGACCUCAAGUCUUUCCCAGACAUUCACACCCUGCUGGACGAAGCUGCCUGCUGGUGCACGGAUUCUGCUCUCCGCCAGCGUCCUUUUUCACUUCUUCUACCUCCUGCCCCCCCCCCCCGUCCUGCUAGUGCUAUCUGACGUGCUCCGAGUGUCUGGGCCCCCCGUCGUAGUCCAGGUCUUCUCCCAUCGAUCUGCUGCCGGAGAGGCUCCUCUUGUCCAGACCAUGGAGCCUCUCGCAGAGGUCCCGUUAUUUGAGAUGGAUGAGGAAGAGGAUGUUCUUUCGAUGAAGAGCACGGGUGGCUGUGCGUAUGGCGCCCGUGCUCUCGCGCCCCCUGCGGGCGUCGACUCCGACGCGUUCAUAUACAUGAACUUCAUGAAGAGUCACUGCUGCUACGACGCCAUGCCCACCAGCUCCAAGCUGGUCAUUUUUGACACCACACUGCAGGUGAAGAAGGCUUUCUUUGCUCUGGUGGCUAACGGGGUGAGAGCCGCCCCCCUGUGGGACAACAAGCUUAAACGUUUUGUGGGUAUGCUGACCAUCACUGACUUCAUCAACAUUCUCCACCGUUACUACAAGUCUCCGCUGGUUCAGAUCUAUGAGCUGGAGGAACACAAGAUAGAGACAUGGAGAGAGAUCUAUCUGCAGUACUCCAUCAACACACUGAUCAGCAUCACUCCGGACUGCAGUCUGUUUGAUGCCAUCUACUCGUUGUUGAAGAAUAAGAUCCACCGGCUGCCGGUCAUCGACCCGGCGUCAGGAAACGUGCUGCACAUCCUCACGCACAAACGCAUCCUCAAGUUCCUCCACAUCUUUCGAUCCAAGAUCCCGAAGCCCGGCUUUCUUCAGAAGCGCAUCCACGAAGUGGAGAUCGGAACCUUCAAGCAGAUCGCCACGGUCCAGGAAUCGGCGUCCGUCUUCGACGCUCUGACCGUCUUCGUGGAGCGGCGCGUGUCCGCUCUGCCCGUGGUCAGCGAGCGAGGUAAAGUGGUGGCGCUGUACUCCAGGUUUGAUGUCAUCAACUUAGCGGCCCAGAAAAACUACAACAACCUGAACAUGACGAUGCGGGAGGCCGUUUCCUCCAGAGCCUGCUGCGUGGAGGGCGUCCUCAAGUGUUACCCGCACGAAACCCUGGAGACCAUCAUCGACCGCAUCGCCAAGGCCGAGGUGCACCGGUUGGUUCUGGUGGACGCUGACGAUGUGGUGAGAGGCAUCGUCUCCCUUUCUGACCUCCUACAAGCGUUGGUUCUCACUCCUGCAGGUAUUGACGCUCUGUGCUCCUGACGCCAACGCUUCCCUCGCCUCCUUGCUCUUUGCCCGAGUUCCCCCCCCCCCCCCCUGAAGAGCGUCCUUCUGUCCUCGUUCCAACGGGCCGACCUCCGCUCCCUGUUGGAAAGUGGAUCCUGCUGAGGACAUCGAGGCCUCUUCGCUGCUCCGUGGACAUUUCCUCCCCCUUCGACCUGAAGCGUCCUCGUUGGACGGGAAUGUUUUUCUCAAACCUCUGCUGGGAUCCACCGACUGUCCCUUUCUGUUCCUCACGUCAUCUGAAAGCUCGUUGAGAACUUUUCCCUUUAGUGAAACGUUGGACCUUUGAGCGUUCUGGAACGCGGUCUGCUUUUCAAAGAGUCCCCCCCCCCCCCCGCCACCGGAGGUCGCGCGCCACGAUCCAAAGCGGCGGCCGAAUGGCCCCUCGUGGUGAGAGAUAUUCACGAGGGAUCCCGCGGCCGAGACUGACCAACGAGGACCGGGAGCCAACAGGACGAUGAGUCCGUGCAAAGGAGCAGCGUCUCCCGGGGGGGGCGCUGGCUUCCCGAUCCCAGUCUGCCGCGUGAGCAGCGUCAACGUGCCCCCCGAGCAAGG
RNA transcript from Gasterosteus aculeatus aculeatus (three-spined stickleback), 1874 nucleotides. It is a transcript of the gene named protein kinase, AMP-activated, gamma 3b non-catalytic subunit, with no coding region annotated. NCBI's taxonomy places the organism in Eukaryota, Metazoa, Chordata, Actinopteri, Perciformes, Gasterosteidae. The record is from RefSeq and is a predicted model, not a curated record.